GAAUAUUAGUCAAUGCUCGAAAGAGUGAACUAGCUAACUGAAAUCAAUUAUAAAAAUUGAUAACAUAAGGGAAAAUAAUGAUAUUACCUUAUUAUUAGUGUCGUCCAAAACUGGUGCCAGAAGACUCGGUAAGGCCAGAGACACAAACGUUAAUCGUCUUAAUCAGGCGUAAAGGGUUUGUAGGCGGCUUUAAAAUUUACUUAUAAAAAUAAAUAAUAAGUAAAGAAUAAAAGCUAGAAUCAAAUAGAGGAUAUAUUAAAUAAUGCUUAGAGUAGGUCUGAUAUCCUUAGAUACUAAGUAGAAUAUUAAAAGCGAAAGCUUUUUUCCAUUAAUGAUUGACGCUCAGAAACGAAGGUGAGGAUAGGAAAUAGGAUUAGAUACCCAAAUACCCCUCUCUGUCAACGAUGAAUGGUAGUUAUUAGUAAAAAUUUUAUUAAUGGCAAUGUUAACACGAUAACCAUUCCGCCUUGUGAGUACAACUGCAAAGUUGAAAACAAAAAAAUUAGUCGGUUUCGGAGCAAACGAAGUGAAGCAUGUUAUUUAAUUC
RNAcentral lists this ribosomal RNA (547 nucleotides) under Russula carminipes. RNAcentral describes it as "mitochondrial SSU rRNA". It matches the Rfam family "Bacterial small subunit ribosomal RNA", at positions 359 to 952 of the family's 1533-position model. The record is from RNAcentral. Lineage: Eukaryota; Fungi; Basidiomycota; Agaricomycetes; Russulales; Russulaceae.